This 253-nucleotide ribosomal RNA is filed under the name uncultured bacterium. RNAcentral's name for it is "partial 16S ribosomal RNA". It matches the Rfam family "Bacterial small subunit ribosomal RNA", at positions 524 to 776 of the family's 1533-position model. The record is from RNAcentral.
UACAGAGGUCCCAAGCGUUGUUCGGAUUCACUGGGCGUAAAGGGUGCGUAGGCGGUCAUUUAAGUCUGACGUGAAAUCUCCGGGCCUAACCCGGAAACUGCGUUGGAAACUAUCUGACUAGAGGAAUGGAGGGGAGAUUGGAAUACUUGGUGUAGCAGUGAAAUGCGUAGAUAUCAAGUGGAACACCAGUGGCGAAGGCGAAUCUCUGGACAUUUCCUGACGCUGAGGCACGAAAGCCAGGGGAGCAAACAGG